This 143-nucleotide ribosomal RNA is filed under the name uncultured archaeon. RNAcentral describes it as "partial 16S ribosomal RNA". It matches the Rfam family "Archaeal small subunit ribosomal RNA", at positions 331 to 476 of the family's 1478-position model. The record is from RNAcentral.
AGCAGCAGGCGCGAAACCUCUGCAAUAGGCGAAAGCCUGACAGGGUUAUUCUGAGUGACUUUCGCUAAGAAAGUCUUUUGACACCUCUAAAAAUGGUGUAGAAUAAGGGAUGGGCAAGUCUGGUGCAGCAGCCGCGGUAAUUC